CACGUAGGGCGCGAGCGUUGUCCGGAAUUAUUGGGCGUAAAGAGCUCGUAGGCGGCCUGUUGCGUCCGCUGUGAAAGCCCGGGGCUUAACCCCGGGUCUGCAUUCGAUACGGGCUAGCUAGAGUGUGGUAGGGGAGAUCGGAAUUCCUGGUGUAGCGGUGAAAUGCGCAGAUAUCAGGAAGAACACCCGUGGCGAAAGCGGCUCUCUGGAACGGUACUGACGCUGAGACGCGAAAGCGUGGGGAGCGAACAGG
This 253-nucleotide ribosomal RNA is filed under the name uncultured bacterium. RNAcentral describes it as "partial 16S ribosomal RNA". It matches the Rfam family "Bacterial small subunit ribosomal RNA", at positions 524 to 776 of the family's 1533-position model. The record is from RNAcentral.